GGCGCGGUGUUGGAAUGGCAGACAAGUCAGUCUCAAAAACUGAUGGGGGCAACUCCGUGAGGGUUCGACUCCCUCCCGCGCCA
Molecule: transfer RNA, 83 nt
Filed under: Candidatus Roizmanbacteria bacterium
Lineage: Bacteria; Candidatus Roizmaniibacteriota
Description: tRNA-Leu
Rfam family: tRNA
About the family: Transfer RNA (tRNA) molecules are approximately 80 nucleotides in length. Their secondary structure includes four short double-helical elements and three loops (D, anti-codon, and T loops). Further hydrogen bonds mediate the characteristic L-shaped molecular structure. tRNAs have two regions of fundamental functional importance: the anti-codon, which is responsible for specific mRNA codon recognition, and the 3' end, to which the tRNAs corresponding amino acid is attached (by aminoacyl-tRNA synthetases). tRNAs cope with the degeneracy of the genetic code in two manners: having more than one tRNA (with a specific anti-codon) for a particular amino acid; and 'wobble' base-pairing, i.e. permitting non-standard base-pairing at the 3rd anti-codon position.
Source: RNAcentral